RNAcentral lists this ribosomal RNA (497 nucleotides) under uncultured bacterium. RNAcentral describes it as "partial 16S ribosomal RNA". It matches the Rfam family "Bacterial small subunit ribosomal RNA", at positions 28 to 507 of the family's 1533-position model. The record is from RNAcentral.
GAUGAACGCUGGCGGCGUGCCUAAUACAUGCAGGUCGAGCGGACGGACGAGAAGCUUGCUUCUCUGAUGUUAGCGGCGGGCGGGUGAGUAACACGUGGAUAACCUACCUAUCAGACUGGGAUCACUUCGGGAAACCGGAGCUAAUACCGGAUGAUAUUUUGAACCGCAUGGUUCAAAAGUGAAAGACGGUCUUGCUGUCACUUAUCGAUGGAUCCGCGCUGCAUUAGCUAGUUGGUAAGGUAACGGCUUACCAAGGCAACGAUGCAUAGCCGACCUGAGAGGGUGAUCGGCCACACUGGAACUGAGACACGGUCCAGACUCCUACGGGAGGCAGCAGUAGGGAAUCUUCCGCAAUGGGCGAAAGCCUGACGGAGCAACGCCGCGUGAGUGAUGAAGGUCUUCGGAUCGUAAAACUCUGUUAUUAGGGAAGAACAUAUGUGUAAGUAACUGUGCACAUCUUGACGGUACCUAAUCAGAAAGCCACGGCUAACUACGUG